RNAcentral lists this ribosomal RNA (527 nucleotides) under uncultured bacterium. RNAcentral describes it as "partial 16S ribosomal RNA". It matches the Rfam family "Bacterial small subunit ribosomal RNA", at positions 355 to 873 of the family's 1533-position model. The record is from RNAcentral.
UGGGGAAUAUUGCACAAUGGGCGCAAGCCUGAUGCAGCCAUGCCGCGUGUGUGAAGAAGGCCUUCGGGUUGUAAAGCACUUUCAGCGAGGAGGAAGGUGGUGAACUUAAUACGUUCAUCAAUUGACGUUACUCGCAGAAGAAGCACCGGCUAACUCCGUGCCAGCAGCCGCGGUAAUACGGAGGGUGCAAGCGUUAAUCGGAAUUACUGGGCGUAAAGCGCACGCAGGCGGUUUGUUAAGUCAGAUGUGAAAUCCCCGGGCUCAACCUGGGAACUGCAUUUGAAACUGGCAAGCUAGAGUCUCGUAGAGGGGGGUAGAAUUCCAGGUGUAGCGGUGAAAUGCGUAGAGAUCUGGAGGAAUACCGGUGGCGAAGGCGGCCCCCUGGACGAAGACUGACGCUCAGGUGCGAAAGCGUGGGGAGCAAACAGAUUAGAUACCCUGGUAGUCCACGCUGUAAAACGAUGUCGAUUUUGGAGGUUGUGCCCUUGAGGCGUGGNUUCCGGAGCUAACGNGUUAAAUCGACCGCC